This is a long non-coding RNA of Branchiostoma floridae (Florida lancelet), 1829 nucleotides long. RefSeq lists it as uncharacterized. NCBI's taxonomy places the organism in Eukaryota, Metazoa, Chordata, Leptocardii, Amphioxiformes, Branchiostomatidae. The record is from RefSeq and is a predicted model, not a curated record. The transcript is spliced from 3 exons.
GAUGGGACGACGAGGAGCGGAGAUCAGAUUAAGCUACCUGUGGUCGACAAGGCAAGUCCGAGGAACCGGUCGCCGACGUAGCCAGGAAGCCAUAGUUCCAACAGCCUCUACACAAUUCCCCAACUCCAGAGCUGACGCCACCCCAAGGAAAGCAUGAAGAUGAAAGGCCAAGCCAAGCUGACUCCCAGCCAAGCAGUCAUUUCGCUGCCAGACAGAGAGGAAAAAAGCCACGCCACGGGUCUUGAGCUGGUCUCUGAUGAUCAAUAACACCUGCUGCCACGAAGUCAACACACUCCCUUUCACUUCGGUCGGGCAAGAGAGAUAAACACGGGCAAGACCGACUCCUCCCGCCGCAACGGACGUCGCUGAUGGCUUGCGCUGGAAGACGAGCUGUAUCACUGUGGGGAAGGACGCCCGUAUGCAAAUUGCAACAACGGGACCAAGGCUGGGAGCCAUGCAAAAUCCGGAACAACGUCGCCCUAAGGAGCAAGGCCAUGACAGGAAAAUGCCAGACCGGAGCAGAGCCGCGUACAGCCAAGAUUGCGCUGCUAAAACUAUGGAAAUACUGACGCCAGUUUAUGGACUGAUGUACACGUAUUGUCUGCAUUACUAGUAUUUGACUUUACAGACACAAAUACGUAUUGUCUAGUCUAUUAUGUGUAUCAAAGAAUAUACAAGUAAUGUAAUUGACUCAGACGACGACGGUCCAAAUCAAACCAUGUGCGGAUUUACGAAUGGUGGAAAUCCCAUACAGACGCACGUACGGUCUCAUUGAUGAGUUUUUAACUGCAUUGGGAGUAAUGGCAUGCAAAAAUACGUGUUUCACAUGGGCGCGUACAAAAUGAACGCACUUGAAAUAUGUUUAUUCUAUUUAUUCUUUGUUGCGCUCAUUUACGUUUUAUCUUGUAAAAAAUUUACAACAGCUAAACAUUCAGUCUUAUAUGACAAUUAGAACAUGCAUGAAGUUAGUACACACCGCAACGGGGACUGCACAACUCAGAACUGUGUGCCUCCGACCCAGACCGCAGCUACCGAACAUUGCCUGCUAAUUUCUUGAAGUAGAAAGAAACUUUCACCAAUCUAACGUUAGAGAUCAGUUGGGCUGGAUAAAAGGAAAAUUCUCAUCGCUAAAAAAACACCUCCGUGCAGCCGCUUACUUUUUUGGGCCGUAAUUUGGAGUAAUACAUCAACGGGACCUUACAAAUAUUAUGUAUGCAAGCUCAUGUUGCAUUUCAGUCCGUCACUUGCAACAAGCUAGAUACAACGCAAUGGUUGCUGUAUGUACCGGCAUGUAUUAGUCUAUAUUGUGCCAUGAUUAUUAUUCUCAGACGGUUUCCGGUAAUUCGUUAAAUUUGAUAAUGUGAACUGCAACAGACCGAGAUAAAGUACUAGUAACCAAUGUUGUGUGAUGUGAGCGGACAGCUGUGUAACUGUCUGUCAGGUAAGACAGAAUAUAAAGACGAGAGAUUUAUUUCUAAGGCAAUUCAGGAGAGCAACAGACCGAGUGACAUAGCAUUAUGACGUCGCAGUUAGUAUUCGUUCAAAGUCUCCCGUGCCCAGUGUACGGAAAUCCCUAUCUCUGUGUCAUUUCUUUAUCGUUAACGUGGUCGUCUUCAAAUCAGAAUCCAAAAGAAUUAGUUACAUGUCCAAGAAUACCAUUGUUUAUCAGAGGAAGAAAAUCGUUGUCAGAAACAUCGGUAAACAUUUAUUUUAAUUCUGAAUCAUUUACCAUAUCAAAUUCUACUUUGUUGAAUUCCAAAACCGCCCUGUCAAGGCAUAUCAUUACAUAUUGUAAGAAGCAAAACUUAAUAUACAAAAAUGAACAGCUA